GGUGAGAUGGCUGAAAAUAGGUGAUAGACUGUAAAUCUAUUUAUGAGGUUCACCCUCUCCCACCA
RNAcentral lists this transfer RNA (65 nucleotides) under Cinygmina sp. 07BF96. Its description in RNAcentral is "tRNA-Tyr". It matches the Rfam family "tRNA". From Rfam's summary of the family: Transfer RNA (tRNA) molecules are approximately 80 nucleotides in length. Their secondary structure includes four short double-helical elements and three loops (D, anti-codon, and T loops). The record is from RNAcentral. Lineage: Eukaryota; Metazoa; Arthropoda; Insecta; Ephemeroptera; Heptageniidae.